GAACGCUGGCGGCGUGCCUAAUACAUGCAAGUCGAGCGAACGGACGAGAAGCUUGCUUCUCUGAUGUUAGCGGCGGACGGGUGAGUAACACGUGGAUAACCUACCUAUAAGACUGGGAUAACUUCGGGAAACCGGAGCUAAUACCGGAUAAUAUUUUGAACCGCAUGGUUCAAAAGUGAAAGACGGUCUUGCUGUCACUUAUAGAUGGAUCCGCGCUGCAUUAGCUAGUUGGUAAGGUAACGGCUUACCAAGGCAACGAUGCAUAGCCGACCUGAGAGGGUGAUCGGCCACACUGGAACUGAGACACGGUCCAGACUCCUACGGGAGGCAGCAGUAGGGAAUCUUCCGCAAUGGGCGAAAGCCUGACGGAGCAACGCCGCGUGGGUGAUGAAGGUCUUCGGAUCGUAAAACUCUGUUAUUAGGGAAGAACAUAUGUGUAAGUAACUGUGCACAUCUUGACGGUACCUAAUCAGAAAGCCACGGCUAACUACGUG
RNAcentral lists this ribosomal RNA (494 nucleotides) under uncultured bacterium. RNAcentral's name for it is "partial 16S ribosomal RNA". It matches the Rfam family "Bacterial small subunit ribosomal RNA", at positions 31 to 507 of the family's 1533-position model. The record is from RNAcentral.